AGCGAACGCUGGCGGCAGGCCUAACACAUGCAAGUCGAACGGAUCCUUCGGGAUUAGUGGCGGACGGGUGAGUAACACGUGGGAACGUGCCUUUUGGUUCGGAACAACUCAGGGAAACUUGAGCUAAUACCGGAUAAGCCCUUCGGGGAAGGAUUUAUCGCCAUUAGAGCGGCCCGCGUCUGAUUAGCUAGUUGGUGAGGUAAAGGCUCACCAAGGCUACGAUCAGUAGCUGGUCUGAGAAGAUGAUCAGCCACAUUGGGACUGAGACACGGCCCAAACUCCUACGGGAGGCAGCAGUGGGGAAUCUUGCGCAAUGGGCGAAAGCCUGACGCAGCCAUGCCGCGUGAAUGAUGAAGGUCUUAGGAU
Molecule: ribosomal RNA, 366 nt
Filed under: uncultured bacterium
Lineage: Bacteria
Description: bacterial SSU rRNA
Rfam family: Bacterial small subunit ribosomal RNA
Source: RNAcentral